AAAAGGGGGGGAAAGAAAGAAAGAGAAAAAGGAGGGCGAGUGGCGAGCAGGGGCCUCGGCCGCCACCCACACGCCCCGAAGCGUGCUCGUCCCCCGCGCGGGGCUCCCGGCCGCCGCCCUCGGCCAUCGGCUGCUCCCCGGUGGCCCAGGCCUCGGACUCCGCGGCCGGCCCGGCGCGGCCCAGCGCCCUCAGGUGUAUACCAAGGACUGGAAUUGCUGGGCCAAGCUUUGUGUUUUAAGGAAAAAAAAAAUCAUGUUUUAGUUUCGUGCUGGUAAUUUGAAGUAAGCAGAUGUCUAGAUAUAAGCUUGGAAACUGGCCAGUUGGAGAUUGCUCACGGCUGCAAUUGAAGACUCCAGCAGCCUCUUCUCCUCUUUGCUUCCAUUUGGAGAGGAAGGCGUCAUAGGCUGUGUGACUUCCGUGGACGCGGGGCUUGGCACCGGCUUGCAGUUGGGAUCAAUCUUCAGUGGCGGUUUGGAGUGGGUCA
This 485-nucleotide small RNA is filed under the name Pan troglodytes (chimpanzee). Its description in RNAcentral is "processed transcript". Lineage: Eukaryota; Metazoa; Chordata; Mammalia; Primates; Hominidae. The record is from RNAcentral.